RNAcentral lists this ribosomal RNA (435 nucleotides) under uncultured bacterium. Its description in RNAcentral is "partial 16S ribosomal RNA". It matches the Rfam family "Bacterial small subunit ribosomal RNA", at positions 29 to 507 of the family's 1533-position model. The record is from RNAcentral.
AGCGAACGCUGGCGGCAGGCUUAACACAUGCAAGUCGAGCGGGCAUCUUCGGAUGUCAGCGGCAGACGGGUGAGUAACACGUGGGAACGUACCCUUCGGUUCGGAACAACUCUGGGAAACUGGAGCUAAUACCGGAUACGCCCUUAUGGGGAAAGGUUUACUGCCGAAGGAUCGGCCCGCGUCUGAUUAGCUAGUUGGUGGGGUAACGGCCUACCAAGGCGACGAUCAGUAGCUGGUCUGAGAGGAUGAUCAGCCACACUGGGACUGAGACACGGCCCAGACUCCUACGGGAGGCAGCAGUGGGGAAUAUUGGACAAGGGGCGCAAGCCUGAUCCAGCCAUGCCGCGUGAGUGAUGAAGGCCUUAGGGUUGUAAAGCUCUUUUGUCCGGGACGAUAAUGACGGUACCGGAAGAAUAAGCCCCGGCUAACUUCGUG